This 515-nucleotide ribosomal RNA is filed under the name uncultured bacterium. RNAcentral describes it as "partial 16S ribosomal RNA". It matches the Rfam family "Bacterial small subunit ribosomal RNA", at positions 28 to 523 of the family's 1533-position model. The record is from RNAcentral.
GAUGAACGCUGGCGGCGUGCCUAAUACAUGCAAGUCGAGCGAAUGGAUUGAGAGCUUGCUCUUAUGAAGUUAGCGGCGGACGGGUGAGUAACACGUGGGUAACCUGCCCAUAAGACUGGGAUAACUCCGGGAAACCGGGGCUAAUACCGGAUAACAUUUUGAACCGCAUGGUUCGAAAUUGAAAGGCGGCUUCGGCUGUUACUUAUGGAUUGACUCGGCUCGCAUUAGCAAGUUGGUGAGGUAACGGCUCACCAAGGCCACGAUGCGUAGCCGACCUGAGAGGGUGAUCGGCCACACUGGGACUGAGACACGGCCCAGACUCCUACGGGAGGCAGCGGUAGGGAAUCUUCCGCAAUGGACGAAAGUCUGACGGAGCAACGCCGCGUGAGUGAUGAAGGCUUUCGGGUCGUAAAACUCUGUUGUUAGGGAAGAACAAGUGCUAGUUGAAUAAGCUGGCACCUUGACGGUACCUAACCAGAAAGCCACGGCUAACUACGUGCCAGCCGCCGCGGUAA